UAAUAUCGCAGGCAAAAACGGGCUGUAUACUCGCACAAUCUAAUUAACGUUUAAGCGGCGUUCUCCGUCGCAGACUGCGAG
RNAcentral lists this non-coding RNA (81 nucleotides) under unclassified sequences. RNAcentral's name for it is "DUF3800-I RNA". It matches the Rfam family "DUF3800-I RNA", at positions 1 to 81 of the family's 115-position model. From Rfam's summary of the family: Actinobacteria, Firmicutes, Fusobacteria, Proteobacteria (1 example), Tenericutes (2 examples). The record is from Rfam by way of RNAcentral.